RNAcentral lists this ribosomal RNA (424 nucleotides) under uncultured prokaryote. Its description in RNAcentral is "bacterial SSU rRNA". It matches the Rfam family "Bacterial small subunit ribosomal RNA", at positions 355 to 796 of the family's 1533-position model. The record is from RNAcentral.
UGAGGAAUAUUGGACAAUGGGCGAAAGCCUGAUCCAGCCAUGCCGCGUGAGUGAAGAAGGCCCUAGGGUUGUAAAGCUCUUUUAGACGUGAAGAUAAUGACGGUAACGUCAGAAAAAGCUCCGGCUAACUCCGUGCCAGCAGCCGCGGUAAUACGGGGGGAGCGAGCGUUGUUCGGAAUCACUGGGCGUAAAGCGUGCGCAGGCGGAUUGACAAGUCAGAAGUGAAAUCCCGGGGCUCAACCCCGGAACUGCUUUUGAAACUGUCUUUCUAGAGUAUGGUAGAGGUUGGGAGAAUUCCUAGUGUAGAGGUGAAAUUCGUAGAUAUUAGGAGGAAUACCAGUGGCGUAGGCGCCCAACUGGACCAUUACUGACGCUCAGGCACGAAAGCGUGGGGAGCAAACAGGAUUAGAUACCCCCGUAGUCC